AUUCAAAUAAAAAUAAAUCUGAGGGGGGAUGGAAAAGACCAUGUGUGUGUCCCCAAGGCUAGUUCUUUCCCUAGGUCUUGUUUUACAAAUUCUGGUAAUAAAC
Small nucleolar RNA from Cricetulus griseus (Chinese hamster), 103 nucleotides. Its record names the gene SNORA72. It matches the Rfam family "Small nucleolar RNA SNORA72". From Rfam's summary of the family: U72 is a member of the H/ACA class of snoRNAs. The snoRNA gene is located in intron 4 of the ribosomal L30 protein gene in human, mouse and chicken. The record is from Ensembl. Lineage: Eukaryota; Metazoa; Chordata; Mammalia; Rodentia; Cricetidae.